AAACGUGUAGUGAAACUCAGGAG
RNAcentral lists this non-coding RNA (23 nucleotides) under Drosophila melanogaster (fruit fly). The record is from RNAcentral. Lineage: Eukaryota; Metazoa; Arthropoda; Insecta; Diptera; Drosophilidae.